RNAcentral lists this ribosomal RNA (426 nucleotides) under Ablattaria laevigata. RNAcentral's name for it is "partial large subunit ribosomal RNA". The record is from RNAcentral. Lineage: Eukaryota; Metazoa; Arthropoda; Insecta; Coleoptera; Silphidae.
CGGUACUUUGACCGUGCGAAGGUAGCAUAAUAAUUAGUUUUUUAAUUGAAAGCUGGAAUGAAUGGUUGAACGAGAAAAAUACUGUCUCAAGUUAAAUUUAUUAGAAUUUUAUUUUUAAGUUAAAAAGCUUAAAUAUUUUUAAAAGACGAGAAGACCCUAUAGAGUUUUAUAGAUAUUUAUUAUUUAAAAUUUUUGGAAUUAUAUAAUUUUUUAUAAUAAAAUUUAUUUUAUUGGGGUGAUAGAAAAAUUUAAUAAACUUUUUUUUAAUUAAAACAUUUAUUUAUGAAUUUUUGAUCCAUUAUUUAUGAUUAUAAGAUUAAAUUACCUUAGGGAUAACAGCGUAAUUUCUUUAAAGAGUUCAAAUCGAAAAAGAAGUUUGCGACCUCGAUGUUGGAUUAAAAUUAAAUUUUGGUGUAGAAGCUAAAA